GAAGCAAGAGAGCGAGAAAAG
Molecule: unclassified non-coding RNA, 21 nt
Filed under: Mus musculus (house mouse)
Lineage: Eukaryota; Metazoa; Chordata; Mammalia; Rodentia; Muridae
Description: oocyte_clustered_small_RNA6637
Source: RNAcentral